GCGGCAGGCCUAACACAUGCAAGUCGAGCGGAAACGAGUUAUCUGAACCUUCGGGGAACGAUAACGGCGUCGAGCGGCGGACGGGUGAGUAAUGCCUAGGAAAUUGCCCUGAUGUGGGGGAUAACCAUUGGAAACGAUGGCUAAUACCGCAUAAUGCCUACGGGCCAAAGAGGGGGACCUUCGGGCCUCUCGCGUCAGGAUAUGCCUAGGUGGGAUUAGCUAGUUGGUGAGGUAAGGGCUCACCAAGGCGACGAUCCCUAGCUGGUCUGAGAGGAUGAUCAGCCACACUGGAACUGAGACACGGUCCAGACUCCUACGGGAGGCAGCAGUGGGGAAUAUUGCACAAUGGGCGCAAGCCUGAUGCAGCCAUGCCGCGUGUGUGAAGAAGGCCUUCGGGUUGUAAAGCACUUUCAGUCGUGAGGAAGGUAGUGUAGUUAAUAGCUGCAUUAUUUGACGUUAGCGACAGAAGAAGCACCGGCUAACUCCGUGCCAGCAGCCGCGGUAAUACGGAGGGUGCGAGCGUUAAUCGGAAUUACUGGGCGUAAAGCGCAUGCAGGUGGUUUGUUAAGUCAGAUGUGAAAGCCCGGGGCUCAACCUCGGAAUUGCAUUUGAAACUGGCAGACUAGAGUACUGUAGAGGGGGGUAGAAUUUCAGGUGUAGCGGUGAAAUGCGUAGAGAUCUGAAGGAAUACCGGUGGCGAAGGCGGCCCCCUGGACAGAUACUGACACUCAGAUGCGAAAGCGUGGGGAGCAAACAGGAUUAGAUACCCUGGUAGUCCACGCCGUAAACGAUGUCUACUUGGAGGUUGUGGCCUUGAGCCGUGGCUUUCGGAGCUAACGCGUUAAGUAGACCGCCUGGGGAGUACGGUCGCAGAAUUAAAACUCAAAUGAAUUGACGGGGGCCCCCCCAAACCGUGGAACAUGUGGUUUAAUUCCAUGCAACGCGAAAAACCUUACCUACUCUUGACAUCCA
RNAcentral lists this ribosomal RNA (972 nucleotides) under uncultured bacterium. Its description in RNAcentral is "bacterial SSU rRNA". It matches the Rfam family "Bacterial small subunit ribosomal RNA", at positions 39 to 990 of the family's 1533-position model. The record is from RNAcentral.